Molecule: ribosomal RNA, 553 nt
Filed under: uncultured bacterium
Lineage: Bacteria
Description: partial 16S ribosomal RNA
Rfam family: Bacterial small subunit ribosomal RNA
Source: RNAcentral
UGGGGAAUAUUGCACAAUGGGCGAAAGCCUGAUGCAGCGACGCCGCGUGAGGGAUGACGGCCUUCGGGUUGUAAACCUCUUUCAGCAGGGAAGAAGCGAAAGUGACGGUACCUGCAGAAGAAGCGCCGGCUAACUACGUGCCAGCAGCCGCGGUAAUACGUAGGGCGCAAGCGUUGUCCGGAAUUAUUGGGCGUAAAGAGCUCGUAGGCGGUUAGUCGCGUCUGCUGUGAAAACUCGAGGCUCAACCUCGGGCUUGCAGUGGGUACGGGCUGACUAGAGUGCGGUAGGGGUGACUGGAAUUCCUGGUGUAGCGGUGGAAUGCGCAGAUAUCAGGAGGAACACCGAUGGCGAAGGCAGGUCACUGGGCCGCAACUGACGCUGAGGAGCGAAAGCAUGGGGAGCGAACAGGAUUAGAUACCCUGGUAGUCCAUGCCGUAAACGUUGGGCACUAGGUGUGGGUCCAUUCCACGGAUUCCGUGCCGCAGCAAACGCAUUAAGUGCCCCGCCUGGGGAGUACGCCGCAAGGCUAAAACUCAAAGGAAUUGACGGGGUC